RNAcentral lists this ribosomal RNA (966 nucleotides) under Triticum aestivum (bread wheat). Its description in RNAcentral is "partial small subunit ribosomal RNA". The record is from RNAcentral. Lineage: Eukaryota; Viridiplantae; Streptophyta; Magnoliopsida; Poales; Poaceae.
CCGGCUGACCGUGCUCCUGGUCCGGACGGCUUCUCCGGCGUCUUCUAUAGGCGGUGCUGGCGCAUCAUAAAAGCUGAUCUCAUGCGAGCCCUACAACAAUUCCAUGAUCUCAACGGUGGCCGCAGUUUCAAAGACCUCAAUGCAGCAACGGUGGUGCUAAUUCCAAAAGCUCCGGAUCCAACUGACAUUGGUCAUUUUCGACCAAUUAGCUUUGUACAUUCCUUUGCUAAGCUCAUCGCAAAGAUCCUUUCCCUGCGCCUCGCCCCAAAACUUGGCAGUCUCAUCUCUCCAGCGCAAAGUGCUUUCCUGAAGACUAGGUGCAUCCACGAUAGUUUUUUCUUUGUCAGAAAUGCCGCACGCAGCCUGCACCGUAGAAAGAAACCUGCACUACUCUUCAAAAUGGAUAUAGCGAAGGCGUUCGACUCAAUCUCGUGGGAAUAUCUACUUGAGCUACUUCAGAAGCUAGGUUUCUCUGCACGAUGGUGCGAUUGGAUCGCUCUGCUUCUGCAAUCCUCCUCCUUUGUAGUCCUUCUAAGUGGUGUGGAGGGCGAGCUGAUAGACCACCACAGAGGACUACGUCAAGGCGACCCGCUCUCCCCAUUUCUCUUCAUCCUUGCCAUCGACAUGCUGCAGCGGAUUCUAGAUCGUGCUGCCGCCCUUGGAUACCUGGCGCCACUUCCUGGGCGCGAUGUCAAGUUGCGCAUCAGCCUCUACGCGGACGAUACAAUCAUCUUCUCCAACCCACGCAAUGAGGAGGUCUCCUGCUUGCUAACUAUACUAGAGAAGUUCGGGGAGGCAACGGGUCUGCGAGUAAACCCUUCAAAAUCCACUGUCACGCCUAUCAAAUGUCAGUCCUUGGAUCUAGACAAUAUACUGCAAGGUUUCCCUGGAAGGCGAACAAGCUUUCCGAUCACAUAUUUAGGCUUGCCGAUAUCCUUAGGAAGACUGAAGAAGGUGCACCUCUAG